GCGGUGCCGUUGAUGAUGACACAGCGCGCUUGCAACAGCGUGCGGCACGAUUCUCACAGCAGGGCUCCAGCUCGGCCAAAAAAUCGGUCGUCGCCAUUGCAAGCUCACCGUUUGGUCUCACCACGGCCAAGA
Drosophila melanogaster (fruit fly) is the source of this 132-nucleotide non-coding RNA. Lineage: Eukaryota; Metazoa; Arthropoda; Insecta; Diptera; Drosophilidae. The record is from Ensembl.